This 253-nucleotide ribosomal RNA is filed under the name uncultured bacterium. RNAcentral's name for it is "partial 16S ribosomal RNA". It matches the Rfam family "Bacterial small subunit ribosomal RNA", at positions 524 to 776 of the family's 1533-position model. The record is from RNAcentral.
UACGUAGGGACCGAGCGUUGUCCGGAAUCAUUGGGCGUAAAGAGCGUGUAGACGGCUCGCUAAGUCUUGCGUGAAAUCUCGGGGCUCAACCCCGAGCGGUCGUGAGAAACUGGCGGGCUAGAGUGCGGGAGAGGAGAGUGGAAUUCCUGGUGUAGCGGUGAAAUGCGUAGAUAUGUGGAGGAACACCGAUGGCGAAGGCAGCCCCCUGGGUUAACACUGACGCUCAUGCACGAAAGCGUGGGGAGCAAACAGG